GUCCUCGUAGCUUAUCCCAAAGCAUGGCACUGAAGAUGCUAAGAUGGCGUACAAUAAAAACCCGAGGACA
This 70-nucleotide transfer RNA is filed under the name Falco tinnunculus (common kestrel). RNAcentral's name for it is "tRNA-Phe". It matches the Rfam family "tRNA". From Rfam's summary of the family: Transfer RNA (tRNA) molecules are approximately 80 nucleotides in length. Their secondary structure includes four short double-helical elements and three loops (D, anti-codon, and T loops). Further hydrogen bonds mediate the characteristic L-shaped molecular structure. tRNAs have two regions of fundamental functional importance: the anti-codon, which is responsible for specific mRNA codon recognition, and the 3' end, to which the tRNAs corresponding amino acid is attached (by aminoacyl-tRNA synthetases). tRNAs cope with the degeneracy of the genetic code in two manners: having more than one tRNA (with a specific anti-codon) for a particular amino acid; and 'wobble' base-pairing, i.e. permitting non-standard base-pairing at the 3rd anti-codon position. Lineage: Eukaryota; Metazoa; Chordata; Aves; Falconiformes; Falconidae. The record is from RNAcentral.